GUAACCUACGGGGCGCAGCAGUCGGGAAUAUUGCGCAAUGGAGGAAACUCUGACGCAGUGACGCCGCGUAUAGGAAGAAGGUUUUCGGAUUGUAAACUAUUGUCGUUAGGGAAGAUAAAAGACUGUACCUAAGGAGGAAGCCCCGGCUAACUAUGUGCCAGCAGCCGCGGUAAUACAUAGGGGGCAAGCGUUAUCCGGAAUUAUUGGGUUUAAAGGGUGCGCAGGCGGAGGUGCAAGUCAGCGGUCAAAUUGCGGGGCUCAACCCCGUACUGCCGUUGAAACUGCAUCCCUUGAGUGCGCGAGAA
RNAcentral lists this ribosomal RNA (305 nucleotides) under uncultured bacterium. RNAcentral's name for it is "bacterial SSU rRNA". It matches the Rfam family "Bacterial small subunit ribosomal RNA", at positions 334 to 656 of the family's 1533-position model. The record is from RNAcentral.